UCCUACGGGAGGCAGCAGUGGGGAAUAUUGCACAAUGGGCGCAAGCCUGAUGCAGCAACGCCGCGUGGGGGAUGAAGGCCUUCGGGUUGUAAACCCCUUUUAGUAGGGAAGAAGCGAAAGUGACGGUACCUACAGAAAAAGCGCCGGCUAACUACGUGCCAGCAGCCGCGGUAAUACGUAGGGCGCAAGCGUUGUCCGGAAUUAUUGGGCGUAAAGAGCUCGUA
RNAcentral lists this ribosomal RNA (224 nucleotides) under uncultured bacterium. Its description in RNAcentral is "partial 16S ribosomal RNA". It matches the Rfam family "Bacterial small subunit ribosomal RNA", at positions 337 to 573 of the family's 1533-position model. The record is from RNAcentral.